UACGGAGGGUGCGAGCGUUGCUCGGAAUCACUGGGCGUAAAGCGUACGCAGGCUGUCUCGUAAGUCGGGUGUGAAAGCCCGGGGCUCAACCCCGGAAUUGCGCCCGAGACUGCGGGGCUUGAAUGCGGGAGAGGGAAGCGGAAUUCCUGGUGUAGAGGUGAAAUUCGUAGAUAUCAGGAGGAACACCGGUGGCGAAAGCGGCUUCCUGGCCCGACAUUGACGCUCAUGUACGAGAGCGUGGGGAGCAAACAGG
This 253-nucleotide ribosomal RNA is filed under the name uncultured bacterium. Its description in RNAcentral is "partial 16S ribosomal RNA". It matches the Rfam family "Bacterial small subunit ribosomal RNA", at positions 524 to 776 of the family's 1533-position model. The record is from RNAcentral.